Long non-coding RNA from Oncorhynchus gorbuscha (pink salmon), 266 nucleotides. RefSeq lists it as uncharacterized. The transcript has 3 exons. The record is from RefSeq and is a predicted model, not a curated record. NCBI's taxonomy places the organism in Eukaryota, Metazoa, Chordata, Actinopteri, Salmoniformes, Salmonidae.
AGGAAUGGUGGGAGGACAACCUGAAAGUAAUUCUCUUUGCACACAACAGGCCUCCACCAAUUACUUGCCCUAUCGCCUGCUGUACGGACGGGAGCCGCAGCUGUUUACUGAGAUCACUGAAACUCCACCUGAUGUGGUGGAAGUUGUCGAACCAGAUCAGAAUGCCUUCAAGGACCACCUUCAGGCACGGGCUGAGAAGGACGUGGAGGUUUUUUACCAGGGACCUCUGACUGGAGUGGCCGGCAGUCCAGCAGCAGAAAGGGGCC